ACUAGGGUAAUAUAAAAGAAUAUGUCUUGCUUACACCAAAAAACUGGCUCAAAGCCUCCUAGCA
This 64-nucleotide transfer RNA is filed under the name Potomida littoralis. RNAcentral's name for it is "tRNA-Val". The record is from RNAcentral. Lineage: Eukaryota; Metazoa; Mollusca; Bivalvia; Unionida; Unionidae.